RNAcentral lists this ribosomal RNA (491 nucleotides) under uncultured bacterium. Its description in RNAcentral is "partial 16S ribosomal RNA". It matches the Rfam family "Bacterial small subunit ribosomal RNA", at positions 29 to 507 of the family's 1533-position model. The record is from RNAcentral.
GUGCACGCUGGCGGUAGGCCUAACACAUGCAAGUCGAACGGCAGCACAGUAAGAGCUUGCUCUUACGGGUGGCGAGUGGCGGACGGGUGAGGAAUACAUCGGAAUCUACUUUUUCGUGGGGGAUAACGUAGGGAAACUUACGCUAAUACCGCAUACGACCUACGGGUGAAAGCAGGGGAUCUUCGGACCUUGCGCGAUUGGAUGAGCCGAUGUCGGAUUAGCUAGUUGGCGGGGUAAAGGCCCACCAAGGCGACGAUCCGUAGCUGGUCUGAGAGGAUGAUCAGCCACACUGGAACUGAGACACGGUCCAGACUCCUACGGGAGGCAGCAGUGGGGAAUAUUGGACAAUGGGCGCAAGCCUGAUCCAGCCAUACCGCGUGGGUGAAGAAGGCCUUCGGGUUGUAAAGCCCUUUUGUUGGGAAAGAAAAGCAGCAGGUUAAUACCCCGCUGUUCUGACGGUACCCAAAGAAUAAGCACCGGCUAACUUCGUG